AUUGAACGCUGGCGGCAUGCUUUACACAUGCAAGUCGAACGGCAGCGCGGGCUUCGGCCUGGCGGCGAGUGGCGAACGGGUGAGUAAUACAUCGGAACGUGCCCAGUAGUGGGGGAUAGCUCGGCGAAAGCCGGAUUAAUACCGCAUACGACCUGAGGGUGAAAGCGGGGGAUCUUCGGACCUCGCGCUAUUGGAGCGGCCGAUGCCAGAUUAGCUAGUUGGUGGGGUAAAGGCCUACCAAGGCGACGACCUGUAGCUGGUCUGAGAGGACGACCAGCCACACUGGGACUGAGACACGGCCCAGACUCCUACGGGAGGCAGCAGUGGGGAAUUUUGGACAAUGGGCGAAAGCCUGAUCCAGCAAUGCCGCGUGUGUGAUGAAGGCCUUCGGGUUGUAAAGCACUUUUGGCGGGAACGAAAAGGACUGUGCCAAUACCACGGUUCGAUGACGGUACCCGCAGAAUAAGCACCGGCUAACUACGUG
RNAcentral lists this ribosomal RNA (484 nucleotides) under uncultured bacterium. Its description in RNAcentral is "partial 16S ribosomal RNA". It matches the Rfam family "Bacterial small subunit ribosomal RNA", at positions 29 to 507 of the family's 1533-position model. The record is from RNAcentral.